GACGAACGCUGGCGGCGUGCUUAACACAUGCAAGUCGAACGGAAAGGCCCUGCUUUUGUGGGGUGCUCGAGUGGCGAACGGGUGAGUAACACGUGAGUAACCUGCCCUUGACUUUGGGAUAACUUCAGGAAACUGGGGCUAAUACCGGAUAGGAGCUCCUGCGGCAUGGUGGGGGUUGGAAAGUUUCGGCGGUUGGGGAUGGACUCGCGGCUUAUCAGCUUGUUGGUGGGGUAGUGGCGUACCAAGGCUUUGACGGGUAGCCGGCCUGAGAGGGUGACCGGCAACAUUGGGACUGAGAUGCGGCCCAGACUCCUACGGGAGGCAGCAGUGGGGGAUAUUGCACAGUGGGCGGAAGCCUGAUGCAGCGACGCCGCGUGCGGGGUGGCGGCCUUCGGGUUGUAAACCGCUUUCGCCUGUGACGAAGCGUGAGUGACGGUAAUGGGUUAAGAAGCACCGGCUAACUACGUG
Molecule: ribosomal RNA, 468 nt
Filed under: uncultured bacterium
Lineage: Bacteria
Description: partial 16S ribosomal RNA
Rfam family: Bacterial small subunit ribosomal RNA
Source: RNAcentral